Molecule: transfer RNA, 74 nt
Filed under: Nocardiopsaceae bacterium
Lineage: Bacteria; Bacillati; Actinomycetota; Actinomycetes; Streptosporangiales; Nocardiopsidaceae
Also listed under: 1 other name
Description: tRNA-Pro
Rfam family: tRNA
About the family: Transfer RNA (tRNA) molecules are approximately 80 nucleotides in length. Their secondary structure includes four short double-helical elements and three loops (D, anti-codon, and T loops).
Source: RNAcentral
CGGGACGUGGCCCAGCUUGGUAGGGCACUUGACUGGGGGUCAAGGGGUCGCCGGUUCAAAUCCGGCCGUCCCGA